Molecule: ribosomal RNA, 330 nt
Filed under: uncultured eukaryote
Lineage: Eukaryota
Description: partial 18S ribosomal RNA
Rfam family: Eukaryotic small subunit ribosomal RNA
Source: RNAcentral
CCCUUAGAUGUUCUGGGCCGCACGCGCGCUACACUGAUGCAUUCAACGAGUCUAAAACCUGGUCUGAUAGGGCUGGGUAAUCUUUUGAAAGUACAUCGUGAUUGGGAUAGAUGAUUGCAAUUCUUCAUCUUCAACGAGGAAUGCCUAGUAAACGCAAGUCAUCAGCUUGCAUUGAUUACGUCCCUGCCCUUUGUACACACCGCCCGUCGCUCCUACCGAUUGAAUGAUCCGAUGAAUACCAUGGAUUGAGAGUACGAAUGGGUUCGCUCAUUUCUGCUGCUCGAGAAGUGGAGUAAAUCUUAUCAUUUAGAGGAAGGAGAAGUCGUAACA